Molecule: ribosomal RNA, 885 nt
Filed under: human gut metagenome
Description: bacterial LSU rRNA
Rfam family: Bacterial large subunit ribosomal RNA
Source: RNAcentral
CCGUAACUAUAACGGUCCUAAGGUAGCGAAAUUCCUUGUCGGGUAAGUUCCGACCUGCACGAAUGGCGUAAUGAUGGCCAGGCUGUCUCCACCCGAGACUCAGUGAAAUUGAACUCGCUGUGAAGAUGCAGUGUACCCGCGGCAAGACGGAAAGACCCCGUGAACCUUUACUAUAGCUUGACACUGAACAUUGAGCCUUGAUGUGUAGGAUAGGUGGGAGGCUUUGAAGCGUGGACGCCAGUCUGCGUGGAGCCAACCUUGAAAUACCACCCUUUAAUGGCUGGUGUUCUAACGUAGACCCGUAAUCCGGGUUGCGGACAGUGUCUGGUGGGUAGUUUGACUGGGGCGGUCUCCUCCCAAAGAGUAACGGAGGAGCACGAAGGUUGGCUAAUCCUGGUCGGACAUCAGGAGGUUAGUGCAAUGGCAUAAGCCAGCUUGACUGCGAGCGUGACGGCGCGAGCAGGUGCGAAAGCAGGUCAUAGUGAUCCGGUGGUUCUGAAUGGAAGGGCCAUCGCUCAACGGAUAAAAGGUACUCCGGGGAUAACAGGCUGAUACCGCCCAAGAGUUCAUAUCGACGGCGGUGUUUGGCACCUCGAUGUCGGCUCAUCACAUCCUGGGGCUGAAGUAGGUCCCAAGGGUAUGGCUGUUCGCCAUUUAAAGUGGUACGCGAGCUGGGUUUAGAACGUCGUGAGACAGUUCGGUCCCUAUCUGCCGUGGGCGCUGGAGAAUUGAGGGGGGCUGCUCCUAGUACGAGAGGACCGGAGUGGACGCAUCACUGGUGUUCGGGUUGUCAUGCCAAUGGCACUGCCCGGUAGCUAAAUGCGGAAAAGAUAAGUGCUGAAAGCAUCUAAGCACGAAACUUGCCCCGAGAUGAGUUCUCCCUGA